This 187-nucleotide non-coding RNA is filed under the name Acinetobacter sp. ANC 4558. RNAcentral describes it as "6S / SsrS RNA". It matches the Rfam family "6S / SsrS RNA". From Rfam's summary of the family: E. coli 6S RNA was the first non coding RNA to be sequenced, but its function was unknown until recently. It consists of 184 nucleotides that fold into an extended hairpin structure with a large single-stranded internal bulge. Lineage: Bacteria; Pseudomonadati; Pseudomonadota; Gammaproteobacteria; Moraxellales; Moraxellaceae. The record is from Rfam by way of RNAcentral.
GUAACUCUGAGAUGUUCGCCAGCGGGUCAAAUUCCCCUGAGCCGAUACUUAAACUUAUGGAUUGUGUUCUGUAUAUUUAGAGCGUAUGCCCAUCUUCGUGUGGGAAACCCAGCAAGUAUGCGUCGCGUCCACCUUGAACUCUUCGGGUUCAAGGGUAAUGACAUGCAGCGGCAUCAUCGGAGUGCUU